RNAcentral lists this transfer-messenger RNA (356 nucleotides) under bacterium. RNAcentral's name for it is "g JABLXZ01 X1 Standard tmRNA". It matches the Rfam family "transfer-messenger RNA". From Rfam's summary of the family: Bacterial tmRNA, also known as 10Sa RNA or SsrA, is named for its dual tRNA and mRNA-like properties. RNAcentral also lists the same sequence under 1 other name. The record is from RNAcentral.
GGGGGCGAAUGGCUUCGACGGAGUGCCUGAGGGGCUCAGGGGCAUAGCGAGGCUCCUCUGUUGCCUCGUUAAUACCAACAGAGGAACUACAGCUGCCAACAGCAGCUACGCACUGGCUGCCUAAAGCGAGGUAGCCCCUGGACCGGCGAGUUUCACCCGGCGCCGGCUCCGGGUCUAACAGGGUGAUCAAGACCGAAUCUGUGUCUCAGGGGUUCGGUCGGAUUACUAACUGAGGCUGGUCUGUCCCCGCCUGUCAGUCGGCUAAGGGACAGAUGAGAUAAAAAGGACUGACUAACUAUGUAGAACCUGAGCUCUGAACGCUUCGGACGCGGGUUCAAUUCCCGCCGCCUCCAUGG